GACGAACGCUGGCGGCGUGCCUAAUACAUGCAAGUCGAACGAGAUCCAUGGGAGCUUGCUCCCGGAAGAUCUAGUGGCGAACGGGUGAGUAACACGUGAGAAACCUGCCCUGGAGUCGGGGAAUAACUCGGGGGAAACUCGAGCUAAUACCGCAUACCCUCGGAUGGUCGCAUGGCCGACCGAGGAAAAGAUUUUAAUCGCUCUAGGAGGGUCUCGCGGCCUAUCAGCUAGUUGUGGGGUAACGCCUACCAAGGCAAACGACGGGUAGCUGGUUUGAGAGAACGAUCAGCCACACUGGGACUGAGACACGGCCCAGACUCCUACGGGAGCAGCAGUGGGAAUCUUGCGCAAUGGGCGAAAGCCUGACGCAGC
Molecule: ribosomal RNA, 372 nt
Filed under: uncultured bacterium
Lineage: Bacteria
Description: bacterial SSU rRNA
Rfam family: Bacterial small subunit ribosomal RNA
Source: RNAcentral